Long non-coding RNA from Amphibalanus amphitrite, 837 nucleotides. RefSeq lists it as uncharacterized. The transcript has 5 exons. The record is from RefSeq and is a predicted model, not a curated record. Lineage: Eukaryota; Metazoa; Arthropoda; Thecostraca; Balanomorpha; Balanidae.
UUUUUAGGAGACUUGGUUGGAUGGCUGUCCUAGAAGAUGGCUUGGCGGACAAGCAGGUUGACGAAGCACUUGUGUGUAGCUGCCACUUCAACCCUCAAGAUCUUUUGCUUGGAGAAAGGGCUAGAACGUCACCACAUGCCGUACCGUCAAUAGCAGUCGUGGAAGGUCGUCGUGUAGCGCGGCGCUCCGCCAGCUGCUGUGCUGGGGUUGGCGGCGCUCAGCAGCUACCAGCUGAUGCAGCGCGCCGUGCUCGCUCGCCGCGGCGCAGUGUUUAUAGCGCGUGCGCCGGGCGCUGACGGCAGUCGUCUGGCAGCGACAGCUCUGCCGGUGACGGCACACGCUGCUGCUGCAGAAACUGGACAAGGGCCUGCUUGGGCUCCUGGUCCUGGAUCGGUACGCCGGCUCAGUCACCUGAUGACGGCGGCGCAAAGCGUGACCUACCCGCCCUACAGCCGGCCCAGCAGGCGGACGGAGAGGCCCGCCCGGGCCCAGUGCCGCACGGAGAGGCGGUGGCGCUUGAGGCCAACACCCCGGCUCGCGACCUGUAGCUGACGGUGCUGGAGCCGCGAGUCACCGUGUUGGCUGGCCAUGGAGACUUGGAAAAGGCCGGUGAGGUGCGUCUCCAGCUGCGCUGUCAGACGAUCCAGUGGAACGAGCAGCAGCCCAUGUACCCGUCCCGGCUGUGCCGGUGUGUCUCCCAGCUUGAGCGGCGCCGGCCGACCGCUGCGCUGCUCUACAACUGCCACGUCCACACACGAUGCACGGUGACGGCUGACCAGGCGGUGCUGGUCUCGACCGCGGCCGACGGCCAGCCCGCCCAGGAGCACCAGGUCGCCG